GAGGGGUGAAAGCGUGGGUAGCAAACAGGAUUAGAUACCCUGGUAGUCCACGCCGUAAACGAUGAUAACUAGCCGUUGGGGGGAUUUACCCUUUAGUGGCGAAGCUAACGCGUUAAGUUAUCCGCCUGGGGAGUACGGCCGCAAGGUUAAAACUCAAAGGAAUUGACGGGGACCCGCACAAGCGGUGGAGCAUGUGGUUUAAUUCGAUGCAACGCGAAGAACCUUACCUGGUCUUGACAUCCUGCGAACUUUCUAGAAAUAGAUUGGUGCCUUCGGGAACGCAGUGACAGGUGCUGCAUGGCUGUCGUCAGCUCGUGUCGUGAGAUGUUGGGUUAAGUCCCGUAACGAGCGCAACCCCUAUCCUUAUUUGCCAGCACAUCAUGGUGGGAACUAUAAGGAGACUGCCGGUGAUAAACCGGAGGAAGGCGGGGACGACGUCAAGUCAUCAUGGCCCUUACGACCAGGGCUACACACGUGCUACAAUGGGAAGGACAAAGAGCCGCGAAGCCGCGAGGUGUAGCUAAUCUCAUAAACCUUUUCGUAGUCCGGAUUGGAGUCUGCAACUCGACUCCAUGAAGUCGGAAUCGCUAGUAAUCGUAGAUCAGAAUGCUACGGUGAAUACGUUCCCGGGUCUUGCACACACCGCCCGU
This 650-nucleotide ribosomal RNA is filed under the name uncultured bacterium. Its description in RNAcentral is "bacterial SSU rRNA". It matches the Rfam family "Bacterial small subunit ribosomal RNA", at positions 748 to 1397 of the family's 1533-position model. The record is from RNAcentral.